UGGGGCUGUAGAGACUGGCUAGAUUAAAGUAGUCUGGGCCCAUCAAAUAAAGCUCCUUGGGGACAAACGUCCCCCAACCCUUCAGAGAACACUCCCCCUUAGCAUGGGAAGCCAAGGCGGCCAGUGUCUGCAUGCAGCCACCAACAAAGAACACAUCAGGCUCCAGGGCUGGGCUGGGCUGGUGUACUUUACAGAUAAUUACUAAUUUCAGCAAAGCAAGUUUUUAGAAGGAAAAUGUAUACCUAAGUGAUUUCAGUGGAAAGUGCUGGUUAAUGUUAAAACCUCAGGCUCUUCUAAAUUAAUAACAACUGUUGGAGGAACGUAAAGGAGUGCGUGUGAACGUGGCAGUUCAGCUUCCAGACUCUGCUUGGCGGCAGCAGAUGGGGCUCAAGGGAGUGCUGGGGCUUGGGCUGGCUCCAAGGCGGGCCUGAGGCUUGGCCUCCAAGCAGGAGGGAACUGAUUUCCACUGCCUGGGCUAUACUAUCAAAUGAGCAAAAGGAAGGCUCAAAUUAGAUGCUUUCACUGAAAAGUAUCCUUGGUUUUUAAUAACAAAGACAGAAAUGCUGACAUUGGGCAGAGAGCAGGCACUCAAACCCAUGCUUCUGUAAAGCUAAGCUAGGACUGCAUGAGUUCUCCUGCAUUGUAAGUUAAGGUUGCUGCAUUCCCAGCUUCAUCCUUUGCCUGGUCACCUCAACUCCACAACACUGGAGAAUUAGGAAGGAAUUAAAAGCUGACAGCCUGAGUGGACCCCCAAGAACAGCAACCUUAUAUUUAUUAAUACGCGUGCUAUUCUUAAUGACAAGGGCAUAGAAGACUGAGGGGAAGACAGAAGAGUUCUGAAAAAUAAUCAGACUAAAAUAUGCACUGUUCUUGAAGCUAGAGACAGCUAUCGCUAUAUUGGACUUCGUAAGGAAGGACUAAGCAGGCAGGAAGGAGUUAGUUAUGGUCCCUGACUUAGAGUGUGUUCCAUGAAAACCACUAAGACAACAAAAGGCUCAUCAGAAACUAUCCACCCGAUAUGGGAGCUUAGGUCACAUUCUUCCAUCAGUGAAGCCAAGGCCCAGAGAGGAGAAACAACCGGCCAGGCCCUGGAAAGACAUCCUCGGACAUGCUCUGUCUCAUGCACAGGUGCGUUCUGCAUGUCACCAGGGGCUCUGGUGUAUAGAGGACAAUAGAAGCCUGUAUGUGCAGAUGUCACCAGGGACGUUUGUUAUGGAGGUGGCUGUUAGAGAGGCCUCAUACAUACUAACUAGCUGGCUCUUGUGCCUCCACUCUAGGGCCACUGAGGAAUGCUGCAGCCAUGUGUUUACUCAGCUGUGUGCCAUAUGGUAGAAUUUGCAUGAAGAAAAAAAAAACAAAAACACCUAAGUGUUUAUGAUAGACAAAUGGGUGUGUGCGCGCGCGCGUAUGCUGCUCAUUUAAUGUCCAGCCCGGUUUACAUUUGACACUCAGUAUUAUGGCAUUGGCUAGUGGAGUACAGAGGGGCUAUAUUUUAAUGGGCAGGCUGCCUUCUACUAUGCUUCAGCCAUAGUAGCUUAAUACCACAACAUCACCUCCCCUCCACCAAGUUUCCAUAGUAGCCAAUGAACAGGGGAAUCCCAUGGGGGCAGUCUGGAUGUCCACAGACAUUAGUUUAUCUUGACUUCAAAAGAUUAUGCCUGAACAAUUGAAUGUUUUUUUAAAAAUGUCAUAAUUCAAAGUGCAGAAGCACAGCAUAAUAAAAUGACUAGAACAUACAAUUUUAUAUUUCCAAGGAGGUACAAUUGUACCACUUUCUAAUUCCCCAAUGUUUUCAUUACUCCGUAAAGAAACUCUCGGGGUUGGAGAUUUAGCUCAGUGGUAGAGCGCUUGCCUAGCAAGUGCAAGGCCCUGGGUUCGAUCCCCAGCUCCAAAAAAAAAGAAAAGAAAAAAAAAAAAAAAAAGAAACUCUCUGGCCUUUAAAUGUCCCCAACACAGAACUGGCAACCAUUAACAUAUUUUCUGUUACAGAUUUCCUGUUAAUGGAAUUUUAGACAAAUAGAAUUCUGUAAUGAACAUGCUUUUAUUUAGUAUGUUUUCAAGGCCCAUCCAUAUUAUCUUAUAUGAUCAGUUACUAUUAUAUAGAUCACAGUGUAUCUGUUAACUAAUGGAUACAUGGAUUGUUUUUAUCUUGUUUGUUUUUGUUUUCAAGACAGGUUUUGUGUAGCCCUGGUUGUCCUAUGCUGGCCUUGAACUCAGAGAGCUGGGAUUAAGGCUGUCUACCACCAUGCCUGGCUCCACCAUCAUUUAGAGACAAGGUUUUACACUAGCUCUGUUUGGCCUGGAACUAAGCAGUUUGUAGAGCAAGAUGGCCUUGAACUCAGAGACUGGCCUGCCUCUGCACCACAGGGGCUGAAAUUAAAGGAGUUUAUUGUUAGUUCAAAGUGUGUGUACUCAUAUGUACAUAUGUGGGUACCUAUGAAGGCAAUGAUGUUGGACCCCUGGAGCUGAAGUUACAGGUAGUGGUAAGCCACGUGAUAUGAGUGCUAGGAACCAAACUUGAGUCCUGUCUAAGAGCACAGAGCACUACACAGUGAGUAGUAACUGGGACUUGGUGAUUCCCAUUUAGUUAGCUAGCAGCAAGCUCCAGAGACCCUCUUACUUGUUCCUCAGUGCUGGGAUUACAAGUAUGCACUACCACAUAUGCACAGCUUUAAGAUUUAUAAUGUAUGUCUGUGUACCCAUGUGUGCCUGAUGACUGUAGGUCAGGAGAGGGCCCCAGACCCUGGAACUAGGGCUGCACAUGCAGAUGGUGGUUAGCUGCCAUGUGCGAGCCAUAUGGUCAAAACUCUUCCUGACUUUUCAGGGACCAAUGCCAGGACAACCGGGCAUCUUCAUAUAAGGAACCCUGGGGCUAUAGUAGCACAUGCCUUUAAUCCUGCACUAGGAAGGCAGAGCUCUGAUUCUGGGCCAGCUUGGUCUACAGAGCAAGUUCCAGGACAGCCAGGGCUACACAGAGAAACCCUGUCUCAUUCCUCCUCUCCCAAACGGAAUCUCAGUCCUUGUCUCACACCACACAUAAGGUUAAACUAACAGGUGGUCCAGAAGUAUGACAUAAAGAGUGAAACUCUGGGCCUAAAAUGCCACAGUAGAAAACCUCUGCAUCCUACAUUAGUCAAAGAUUUAUCAGAUACAAAGUGAAAAGCAGCGACUGUAGGAGAGGAAUAAAUCGUCUCUUUGGUAAACUGGUUUCUUCAUCAUUGAAAACUUUUUUUUUUUCCCCCGGAGCUGGGGACCGAACCCAGGGCCUUGUGCUUCCUAGGCAAGCGCUCUACCACUGAGCUAAAUCCCCAACCCCAUCAUUGAAAACUCUUAAAGGCCAUUGUAAAGACGCUGGGAAGCCUUACACUGAGUGAUGUAGAAUAUGUAAAGAACAUGUAUAGCUAACAGAUCAACAGCUGAUGAGUUGAUGUACACCUAUAAGCUCAGCCUUUCUAUUCCAUGGAGGCUGAGGCAGGCAGAUUAAAGGUUCAGUGCCAGCCUGGAAUGGCCCUGUCUCAAAACAAGACAAUUCGCAUUUAAAUGACUAACAAAGGAUAAAGACAAAUAAUAUGUCAAGUAAAGGAACAUCCCUAGCUAAAGUAGAAACUUGAGGGUUCUUUGGAAAGUCGGUUGGAUGGUGUUUUGGUGGGGCAGACUCGUGAAGGAACGUUUCACUGAAGCAGACACACAGAGGAUGCUUUGCUAAAGCAAUAACGUGAAAGGACACGUGAUGGAGGAUUCUUCGCUAAUGGCAUCAUGUACUGGUCCACCUUACAUGAUGUAGCUGAGCUGCAUUUGUUGGGACUCCAUAGACAGAAGUGCCCCAAAAAACCUUCUCGUGUGUGCUGCACUUCUUGGCACUUCUAAGGACUCAGGCUGAUUGGAUGCACGUGCUGAGGCAAAACCCGUGCCGAGGCAAAACCCGUGCCGAGGCAAUGCACAUGGAGGACACGUGAUGUUUGGAGGGUAUAAAUAGGACUCCACAGAGUGAUAGAGACAGGGCUUGGCUUGCUGGUGCAGUUAGCUGUGCAAUGAUUGUAGGUUUCCAGUCUUUAUUGAUCUCUGCUCCCCUGAGAGGAGCACAGCUGAGAACUUCUCCUGGUGUUCCUGUUGGUCCCUCCUGCUGACUGGAGCAGAGGCCGAGGCCUGGCUGUCUCUGCUAGGUCAUGUCUCUGCUAUUGCUAUCCUGACUCUACUGAACUGGACUGCUGGUGCGUCUGUGAGGUGUUUGCAGUGGACCGAGCUGCUGCUGCCUGCUGGCCUGUGAACUGAACUGCUGAUUUCUAGACAACACAGAUGGGAACUGCUCCAGAGAACCUUUCUAAACAGACAUCAAUACAAGCCCUGUAUCACAUCUUGAUGGAUUAGGUGCAGGAAUUGGCGCCUCCGGCUCAUUCUGGUUCCAACACCACACCCACAGACGUCGGCAACCACUGUGAGCACUGACAGAAGAAGCUUUGUUUCUGAUGUGCUCUCUGCAUCGGGGGCUACCUCUCUACCUGUCCUCCUAACUGUAGUAGCAUCAGUCCCUUGCUUUCUCUGUGACAUGUAGCAUGCUAGGGUCACUGUCUACCAUGAAUCUCAUUGUCCCCACCUGUCACAACCUGCUCCUUAGUUCUUGCAGGUUUCUGUCAAGGUGGGGUGUGUGGAGGGAAACACAGGAGAGGGAGAAACGAGCUGAAAAUUGUGGCUCAUGUUGCACACCCUGGCCCUGUUGUGGAAAGAAACCAUCUCCAAGGAGCCAAUAGGAUUGUAACCAAGGUAGAGUUUUUACAAUAUUGUUACUUAGUUUAUACUCUGAGUGGAAAGAAUAAGAGAAGGCACACAGGGACAGGCACCAACAGCCACCUCUCCACCUAUCUGUGCACACAGAUGCCACAAACAAACAUGUGUUAUCUUUGGUGCACACCUCAGGAUAACUCUCCAUGCUGAUGACCAUUUCCCACACACCACAGUGCUUCUGCUCUGAGGUCAUAAAGGCUCUCCUGGAGAGGCAAUUAAAGAGUUAAAAGUGUUAACUUUAACUAAAAAAAACUCUAAACACUAAAAGAGUGGACUCAGUGUAGCAUCUAUCUGCCAGGGGCUCAUCUGACUCAGGCCUAAGGAAAGGUUGGCAGGUACCAUGAUCCUUUCAGUCAGUGAGACAAGUGAAUCAGGCUCACACUCUCAUGACUUUCAGUGAAGGGUUAGCCAUUCUAGAGCAAUUUGGAGAAGAAAUCAUAUCAUCACAAUCUUCUGAACUGACAGAAACACCCCCUCCAGCAUCAGAAGCCCAUUUUGGAAAAUUUCAGAGUAGCAGAACCACUAGAAGGAAAGCACAACAUACCAUCCAACUCAAACGCUGACCUCUGUGACCUCUGUCAGAAUGGACAGCCAGUGACAGCCUGUAAGCCCUUUAACUAUAUAGAGAAUGGAAGGAUUGACUAUCUGUGGACUUUUAAGUUACUGUCUCUCUGUUUUUUCAAGUAAACACUCCUUGAACAACACAAAUAGAGCUGAAUGUAGUAGCUGUGUUGCCAGGGCACAUCCUGCAAACCAUAUUAUACUGACUUUCCUGGACUUGGUCCCGUGACCUGAGAUACAAAACACUGGCCUACCCAUGAGGUCUGCUCUAAGUCUUCUGGGUUGUAAGAACAAUGGGUACAGUUCUAUACUGGCUCAGGAAAUGCUAGCACCUCACUCAUCUGACUCUUAACAGAGGUUCCACAUCAUCAGUAGAGGAAGUUAGGCGUUGAGAGAGAGAGAGAGUGAGAGAGAGAGAGAGAGCUGCUCAGGACUAUUGCUGGAAUCAUCCCUACAAAUAACUGGGAUCAGCCAAGGGGGUCAUGAUAAAUACUGCUUAUCCAGAGGGAGCUCACGAACAUAUGCUAAACGUUGCUCAGAGAAGCAAACAGCUGGAACAUUCACUGUUCUAAGCUCAUGUGGGCCAUGAACCCAGGGAAGCCACAACGUCUGCAGUACCAAUGGUCAUGAGCAAAACCACAAAGCUCUAGAACAGCUCUGCUCAGCCUGGGUGUGAUCUGUGGUCAUCUAACCCUGCAGAUGGCUCAGAACCUUACUGUGGAUUGUUGCCAAAUAUUUUCCAAGUGCAGAGCCCAAAGGGUGGGCCCCACUCUUACUUUCCUGGUCUCCUCUCCUUUAUGUAUCUCCUGUAUAUAUAGAUUUCAGAAGAACUAAGGGCGGGGGGGCUUAAAUUUGUAAGAGACCUACCAUAUUUGAAUUAUGUUGCAACAACAUUUUUAUUUAUUUUAUGUAUAUGAGUACACUGUCACUCUCUUCAGACUCACCAGAAGAGGGCAUUUGAUCGCAUUACAGAUGGCUGUGAGCCACCAUGUAGUUGUCAGGAAUUGAACUCAGGACCUUUUUGGAAGAGCAGUCGGUGCUCUUAACUGCUGGCCCAACUCUCCAGCCCAGAGGCAACAACAUUUUUAAACUGAAGACUUAGGGACUUUUAGUAAGAAACAAGAAAGCCAGCAUGGAUAACCAGCUCAUGUGACACUAAGGCAAAGGAAUCAGAGUAAAGGCCAAUCCUAUGCAAACAGAAAGAUUAUAGACUGCAGGCCACAUCCUAUGCCCUCCUGGUUUUGUAUGGCUUCUGGGCCAAGGACUUCUGAAAACAGUCAAAGUCCUUGAAGACAUAUGAAAAUAACAUGGAAGUCGGCCAUGGGGGUACAUAGUGACACCUCAUUGGCACAGCUACACCCAUUCACUGAGGUUCAGAGUCUGUUUUGGUGGUGGAGCCCAAAAGGUGGGUAUCACACAGAUCUUGUGGAAAAGCACUUCUAGUCUCUUUCCUUUGUAAUUGCAAGACAAACCUCUGGUCCUAUCUGGUAAGAGUAUAUCUCAUGUUGUACGAUUUCCUACGUGAAACCUAUAAAACCAGAAAACUGCCUUUGUUCUAAAGAAAACUGAAGGGCCUCUCUCUCCAUUUCAGCUCCUCUUUCCUAAUGUAGUUCCUGUCAGGGCUCUGGAAGGAAGGCCUUCUCUCCCUUCAAGGCUACAUCAAGCUAUCUCUUUCAGUAAUUGCUUUCCUACCCAAAGGACUGAUUAUGGAUCCAAGUUGAUCACAAAACUCUCCUUAACAAACUCAUUCUGAUGGGUAAGGUUUUUGUUUGCUUUUAGCUUCUUUUCUGAGCCUGCUGCUUUAUUUAAUUAAUUUUUGAGACAGGGUUUUUCUGUGUAGCCCUGGUUGUUCUAGAACUUGCUCUGUAGACCAGGCUGGCCUCAAACUCACAGAUCUGCUUGCCUCUGCUUCUAAGUGCUGGGAUCAAAGGUGUGAGCCACCACUGUGCACUGGGUUAAGCUAAAUCUUUUUACCGUCAUUUGUUUUUUUUUUUUUUUUUUUUUUUGGUUCUUUUUUUCGGAGCUGGGGACCGAACCCAGGGCCUUGCGCUUCCUAGGUAAGCGCUCUACCACUGAGCUAAAUCCCCAGCCCCUUUACCGUCAUUUGUAACACAAUUCCCUGCUGUGCUUGUGAUGGACUCUGAUGUUGGAGGAGACCAUGAGAAGCAAGAACAUUUCUAUUGGGAACUGUAAUGGCCUUCAUAAAGCUCUGCUCUAUACUCUUCGUCUAGUGCCACCCACUGAUAUGUAAUAUUACUAUGACACCAACCUUGCAGGCCUGGACUUAGGGCCUGCAGAGAUAACUUCCUGUUAAGAGCACUUGCUGUACUUGUAAAUGACCUGGAUUUGGUUUCCAGCACCCACAUGGUCAUCCCAGUUCCAGAGAAUCCAAUGCCCUCUUCUGGCUUCUGGGGAUACCAGGCACAUGUGUGGUAGGGGCAUAGACAGAGAUAGAUGUACACUGUGGUGGUUUGAAUAUGCUUGGUCCAGGGAGUGGCAUGGGCUUGUUGGAGGAAGUGUGCCACUUUGGGGGUGGGCUUUGAGACCCUCCCCCAGCUGCCUAGAAGCCAGUCUUAUUGUUGUUUUGCUUUUGGAACAAGAGGUAGAACUUUCUGCUCUUUCAAUUCCAUAGCUACCUGGGUGCUGCCAUGUUUCUUGCCAUAGUGAUACUGGACUGAACCUCAGAACCUGUAAGCCAGCCACAAUUAAAUGUUGUCCUUUAUAGGAACUGCCUUGGUCAUGUCUCUUUACAGCAAUGGAAACCCCCAACUAAGGCAGAAGUUGGUAUCAGGAGUGAGGCAUUGCUGUGAUAGGCCUGAACAUAGUUUUGUUCGGAGGAAUGUGGAUUGAGACUUUGGAUUUGGAAAGCCAGUGGAAUGCUUUAAGUGGGGCCAUCCUAGUAGGAAUGUGGAAGACAUUGUGUGUAGAAGGUAAUUUGAACGGUGGGGGGCCUGGCUCAAGAGCUUCAAUAUAUGACUUAGAGACUGUUCUUGUGAUAUUUUGGUGAUGAAUGUGACUGCUUUUUGCCCUUGUCUGUAGAGUCUACCUGAGGCUAAGGUAAACAGAUUUAUAUUAAUUGCAUUGACAAGGAAGUCUCAAAAAAAAAAAAAAAGCCUAACAGAAACUUUGUUCUCUGGUUAAGUCUCAUGAAGAGCAUUUUGAACAAGCAUAGCAAGCUUAGAAAGGAAAGAUAUAAAAAUGUGUGGUUCAAGUAAUAAAGGGGCACCAGGAAGGGAAAUGGAGCCGAAUCCUGUGUUCAAGGAUUAAGGGAGUGGUGGCUUUGUGGCAAGAUCCCACCCAGCUAAGAUUAUUGUUUAUGUGUUUGUCAUUGGACAAGAAAAAGCUAGUUAUAUCAUAAUAGGUGUUAUUGUUACUUGGUUAUUGUCUUCACUUGAACUUUUAACCUGGAACCAAUCUAGAAAUGAAAGAUGCAGGCUUUUGUUCUGGAACUUGAGGCUUAGUGGCCAUGAAAAGCUCAGGCAAGGUGGUGUGCAUCUUUAAUUUCAGAAGAUAGAAGCAAGCAGAUCUCUGGGCUCAAGGCCAGCCUGGUACAGAACACAUUCUUAGUAGAGAAAAGCUUAAGUCCAAGUGUGGUGGACCACACCUUUAAUCCUGGCACUUAGGAGACAGGCAUGCAGAUCUCUGAGUUCGAGAUCAAUCAACAGAACAAGUUCCAGAACAGCCAAGCUUAGGCUGGGGGGUUGGAAAGCAGAAAGCUGGUGAUAAUGUAAUAGAACAAGGGGGCCGUCCAGCUCUAGCAAACAGCAGAACUUAACAGCUUCUGCCAUGUGGCUCUGGCUUUAGAGUCCAGAACAGAAGGGAUAACUGGGACAAUGGAUGCUGGUCAGCUGGAGCUAAGAGAUUAGCAGCGAUUAAGAAGAGACCAACAUCACUGAGGUGAAGUCUUCUGUGAAGUGUUUUCUGAGAGCACAGAGAGGCUGUGUUCCAGAGAUAGCCAAGGUUGCACCUCAUUGCUGUGACUGGACUUGGUAAUGUGUAAGAAUCACCCAGGUUAUACUGGUUUUGAAGGCAUGAAGGGGUCACGAGGAGCAGCUGAGGCUGGGCACUGUGAGAGGCCAGAGAAGGCCAUUGGUGAAGGUGCAGCCUCAGCUGUAGUUGAUGGCCCAGGACUUAAGGGAUCACACAAAGAAAUUAAGGCUUGGCACCAUGAAGGGAGCCUGUGAGAAGCUAUUGGUGGAACCUAGUUGUAGAAAAAGACUCCACAGAAUUGGAGAUGCCAGUAUCAUGGGAUGAUCACUAAGAAUAGCAGCAGCAGUGGUGUCAACCAGAAUCUAGAGCGCUAUAGAGCGCAGAGCUGGAGAAGUGACCCAAGCCCUUUUGAGAAGCCCAGGAGAUCAUGUGUAGAUCCCAGACAGAGCCGUGGGAUCUCUCCUGAGGAAAACUGCUAGCAGGGAGUGGAACCAACACAAGAGAAAGAACUGUGCUGGGGUUGGGGAUUUAGCUCAGUGGUAGAGCGCUUGCCUAGCAAGCGCAAGGCCCUGGGUUCAGUCCCCAGCUCUGAAAAAAAGAAGAAAAGAAAAAAAAAAAAAGAAUUGUGCUACAGUCAACAAAGCUGAAAGGAGUUGGACAUCAGACAUGAAGAUUCAGAGUUUAAGGUUUGCCAAGCUGGUUUUUGGUCUAGUAUUUCCUCACUAUGAUGUCUUAGAAUGAUAACUAUAAUCUCCUAUAAAAUCAAAAUCAAAAAGCAGAUCACAUACCUCCAACAUCACAGGCUGUAUGUUAAGUGACUGGAUGAGUAUCAGAAGAUACUUUGAGCUUUUAACAUUGUUGAGACUGUUAUAGACCAUGGGACUUUUGAAGUUGGACUAAAUGUAUUUUGCCUUAUGCUAUGGCUAGGUAUGGCCCUCACAGACUCAUGUCUUUGAACAAGCAUGUGGGGGCUAGGGAGUGGAAUGUGGUGGUUUGAAUAUGCUUGGUACAGUGAGUGGCCCUAUUAGGAAGUGGGGACUUGUUGGAGGAAGUGUGUCACUUUGAGGGUAGGCAUUGGGGCCCUCCUUCUAGCUGCCUUGAAGCAAGUCUUCUGUUUGCUUUUGGAACAAGAUGUUGAACUCUCAGCUCCUCUAGUUACAUGUCCGCUUGGACACUGUCAUGCUUCCUGCCAUGAUGAUAAUGGACUGAUCCUCAGAACCUGUAAGCCAGCCCCAAUUAAAUGUCGUCCUUUAUAGGAGUUGCCUUGGUCAUGGUGCCUCUUCACAGCAAUGGAGACCCUAAUUAAGACACAUGCAAACACUCAUACAUAUAAACAUAAACAAACAAACAAAUAAAUAAAGCCUCAGGGCUAGAGAGAAAGCUGGGUGGUUUAAAGCCUCAGGGCUGGAGAGCUUGGUGGUUUAAAGCUCUUGUUGCUCUUGCAGAGCGCACAGGUUUGAUUUCCAGCAUCUACAUGGUGGCUCACGGUGAUCUGUACCUAUUGUUCUAGGGGAUUCAACACCCUUUCUGACCUCUGCAGGCACCAGGCACAUAUACAUAAAUAGAGCCAAAAUAUUCUCCCACAUAAUAAAAAUUAAAAAGAGCCUAGAUCUAGUAAAGGUAUUCUUUAUCCUUUGCUUUUUAUUAAAAAAAAACAUUAUCUAUGCAGAGGAAAGUUAUGAAAAAAGAAAGGCAUUCUGGAUUUAGAGACUAGAAACAUCUUGUCUUUUUAUAUCUUCCCCACAAAGGCAGACCAUCGUGCUGAGAAGAUGGGGGCAGGAAGACCAUUUCUGCUUCUUACAGUGACUUUGAACUUCUACCUGUCCUGCUUCCAUUUUUCAUCUGACGGUGCUUUCCCUGGUCUCAAGGAGAUGCCAUCUCCCCUGCAUCCUAGUCCCCGAGAGUUUACUGGUGCCUUCCCUUCUACUUGCCUCUGCCUUCAAUAAAUUUUGUAUUACCUCGAGAGCUGAUGAUUAAGACAAAAGAAAACAGGCCUCCUGAGAGAAGGGUCAGAUAGGAGGGCAGCUGUGAUCAUAGAACAGGUAACAGGUAGAAGGACUUUACCUUGUGUACAGCAGGUUGAGUGCUCCAAGAGCUUUUGUCUAACAUCAUGGAAUGAUGUUAUAAGGUGGAGACGUAAAAUUAUGCCUAUUUUUAAAUUAAGAAAACCAUGGCUCACAUAUAUAUGUGCUGAUGUCUUAGUGCCCCAGAGCCAGGAUGGAAACGGCAGUUUGAGGUGGGCUCUGAUCCAGCUUAGUUGCCAAAUUGAGUGCAGGAGACAAAAUGGGAGACUGCCACAGAAGCUCCAGGGACCUCCUGAGUUCCUUCCAAGGCCUUUCGUUACUGUUUUCUUAUAUAUUUCCCCAGAAGUUUUACAUAACAGAAGGAUUAUGAAGACUGUGCAUGGCUUAUGUAUAAAACCUUACUGCAGUAUUUACAUUAGUAUAGAUGACUGUUGUUAAAACCAGCGUCAACAUUAUAACAAGUCCUUACCAUGUUCAGAUCUCUUCGUUUUUACUACUAGGAGUCCAUGAGGACAUGUUUGAAACUUCUGAGAAAAGGGUCCAGUUUACUCUUGCAUCUCUACUUUCCAUUUCUCUACAAAACAUCAUUACCAUUCAUAUUGCAAUGAAAUAACUCUUGAAUUAGAGGAAAUGAUGAGGAUGUAAAGAGAAAAUCUUUGCCUGUUCUAAAAUGGAGUUGUUUUCCUAAAGUACCACAAGUAAAAUACUGAAAAAAAUCUGGACAAAUUAAUUCAAAAUGAUGUAACAGAGUGUCUGGUGUGUGUGUGUGUGUGUGUGUGUGUGUGUGUGUGUGUGUGUGUGUGUCUACACUUUGGGAAACUAUCAGACAACAUAUACUCAAGCUAACAGAUAUAUACCCCAUGAUUCAUUAAUUCCAAACCAAAACUGUACCCGUCCUCACAAACUCACAGCAAUACUAUUUAUUACAGCUGAGACUGGGCAGGACCUAAGAACAGGGUGGUAGAUCCUUUGUGAAUUCCAUACAGUGAUACGACAAAAGAUUUGUGGUCAUACACACAUCCCUCCCUCUGCCUGUUCUACCCAUGCAGGUCUACAUUAGGCUGGGCUCUCCAGCAACCAGCAGAGUGCUUGCCUAGUAACAAGGACUGGAAAGAGGAAAGGGUUUCUGGAGACUGUUCCGAUUCCUGAUUUGGGUGGUGGUUAUACUACAAACUCCUUUUGUGAAAAACUAUUAAACUGUGUAUUUAUGAUGUAUGUCCUUUUCUUUGUCUUAUUUUACCAAAGGUAAAAAGACAAAAGACAGCAUGUGUGACCUCAUGAGGCAUAAAAUUUGAUGAGAAAAGCAGACAAUGAGCAAAGAAAUCUCUUAAGCACAGGACUACUGAGGGUCUGGGACGCUGCUGCAGGAGCAGCCACCACGUCUCAUCUGAGCUGUGGGUAUCAGAGCUGGGCACGUUGGUCAGUAAGUUUUAUAGCUUAUAUAAAUUGUGCUCUGAAUGACGUGUUCAGAGUCCUUUCCACUCUUUUGGGAUUUAAAUAUAUAAAAAGAAGUUACCUGAAAAUAUGGAGCCCACCUUUUGGCUCAUUUACACAUAACACAAGUGUUCCAUAUUUCUUUAUCUUGAGUUAUGGUCACAUGCUGUGGUUCAACUGGCAUUGCAUUGCAUUUUGACAUAAAUGGGGAAGGGCUACAGCUUAGAUACCUUUGUCACAUAAAGAUUUUAGUUGUAAACAUUUGUUUUAAAUAUUUUUUAGCUUCUAUUUGUCUUUUAAAACCUUUCUCUAUUAUCAAUUCAACAUAGGUCAAUUAAAAGGAAAUAACAUAUUAAAAAAUAAUUCAGUUAGCAUGUAGGGUUAAAUAAACUUGCAGUAACAGUAAUUUCCAGAGGUUGAAGCUGACCAGGGAACUGAAGGGACUGUGCAGCACUUAGCUGUGUUUGGAAACAGCCGCAGUAUCUGAGGGCUGGGCGGGAUAAGGGCCCUGGAGGCCUGGAGGCUUGCAUAACAACCACUGUUUAUGCAGCCCUGGCCAGCAGCAGAAUGGAAACAGAGCGUGUGGGCCAAGACAGUCAAGCUGCUGGGAUUUUUUCCCCUUAAAGACCGAAUAACCAAAAGACAGAUUUUAAUUUUUUUAAAUAAAGUUAUACUUCAGUGGCAAAUAAAUUGGAAACCUAUGUUUUAAAAAUCAAGCACCUUUAACGCAAUUCUUGAUUACAUAUGUAUACCAGGAUAAGAUUCCUUAUUUACAAGUUCUGAAGACUAAGUAGAUAUAUUUUACUGCUUUUUACCAUACAGGAAAAUACACAGAGAGGAGAAACUAAAGUUGGAGUCUGAAGACGAAAGAAAAAGUGUUUAGAACAAGCAGUUACAGUUAUGUUAGCAGAGUCAGAACCUCUGGGAACCUCGGCAGACGACACCUUACUCAGCACCUCCUUAGAAUGUCCAGUCACUACCCGAAGUUCUCCCAGGGGCAUCUGCAAACGGACUUGGGUCUUUUGUGCCCUACAGGAUGAGAUAAUGAUGUUCUCAUAGCAUGCAUGGUAACAGAUGGACAUGAGAAAUCACUUACCUAGUUACAGCUCAUAGCAAUGAAGGACUCAAGCACAGCAAGGCCUCCUGAGGCCUGCACGUUCUUAAAGUGUUGCUCACUUGUGGGGAAUGUGAAGGUGGGGGAGGGGUGGUGAUGGUGAUACCGGUGGUUUGUGUUUGUCAGAUAAAUAUACUAUUUAAAACUUAUUGGGGUUGGGGAUUUAGCUCAGUGGUAGAGUGCUUGCCUAGCAAGCGCAAGGCCCUAGGUUCGGUCCCCAGCUCUGAAAAAAAGAAAAAGGAAAAAAAAAACUUAUUAAGACCCCACAAUUAAAAGCUAGUGUAGCCACCCAGACAUGGUGGCACAUGCCUGUAAUUCUUCUUGGGAGGCUGAGUUAGGAGGACUGUUCUCCACGUUGAAUUGCAGGACAGCUAGAGCUGUAUAGUGAGACUCAGAAAGCUGCUACAGCUGAGGGGAGUUAGGGGGCAGAUCAGGUUCUGCACUACUCCUUUGGGGACCCAUCAAAGCAGGUCAGAAUAUAAAACAUAGCAUUGGAAAGAUGUUCACAUCUGUCUCCUAACUCCAGCAAGCUGCAUCAAGAGCAUGGGCUGCAUCAAGAGCAUGGGCUGCAUCAAGAGCAUGGGCUGCAUCAAGAGCAUGGGCAAGAAGACAUGCAGGCAGGAGGGACCUCCAUGACUUCCUCUGAAGUCAGUAGCUCUCUCUCCAUUCAGUGUUCCUCAGCUGCUGCAAGUCUCAGAUUUGAUCCCAGGUCUCAGCAGGGUUUAACCUGUCGAAUUUGGCAGUUUAUGGUGAUUUCAGGAGAGAAAGUGAUCUGGGGGUGGCCUACUCUGCCAUUUUCUGUGACACUGCAAUAGUUUAUAAUGUUCAUAAGCAAUAAACAUGAAUUCGUCAUGCAGCUCAGCAAUUCCACCCCUAGGAACUUAACUAUGAAAAAAAAAAAACAAAGCAUAUCUGUAUAUAAGAAUGUUCAUGGUAGAUUUAUUCUUUUCAGGCAACUUAAAAUAACCCAAGUUCACUAAACUGGUGAGUGCUUAGACAGGUAAAGCCAGAAUUCUACUGGUCAAUGAAAAGAAACCAAGUGCCCAUACCCACUACGAUAUGGACAAACCCCAGACACAACUCCAAGUAAAAGAAGCUAGACGCAGAAAUCAAUGUUGUUGCUUCAUGUACAUCAGAUGCCCAGCAAAGACUGCCCACAGCAGUAGAAAGACGUCAGAGGCUUCCUUUGGUGGUUGUUGUGAUUAGGGUUUCCUCAAGUUUAUCUUGCAGUUUUCUUAUUUAACUAUCCUUAAACUGUUGUGUGACUAAUUUCUGUCUUAAUUUUUAAAAUUUGAAUUACCUUUUAAAAUACGCAGAUAUCAAUGCUUCUCUAAUUAUGAAAAAACAAAAUACCACUUUCCUAAAACUUUUCUGCUUAUUAUAAUCACUUUGACAACUUUAUUUGUAACUUUAUCUAGAUUCUCCAUAAUUUUCACUUAAUAGAGGCUUAUUUUUUCAAGUAACAAAAAAUUCUUUCAUGUGUUCCUUUCUAGUAGUGCCAUUUUUUCCUAUGAAAUUUUUGUUGAAUUUGUGAACUUCAUGACUGCAACUGACUUAUAGAUGAAAAGGCUAAAGGAAAUCAAGCCGAAGGGAGUUUAGUUGAAUUGGUAAAGAGCAUGAGUAGAGGCUGGAGAGGUGGCUGGCUCAACAGUGAAGGGCAUAGUAGCCCGGGCCCACAAGCUUGUAGACCUGAGUGUGGCCCCCGUCUCCAUAUAACAAGCUGGAUAUGGUCUUUAGUGCCUGCCUGCAACUCCACUGCCAUGUGAGGAAGACAUGGAGCUCACUGGGGCUGCCUGGCUGACAGCAAAACCAAAAACCAUGAUCUCUAGACUUGGGAAAGAUUUUAUUUCAAAGGAAUAUGGCAAAAAGUGAUAGAGGAGGGCUGCCUUCCUGGUCUCUGUAUGUGCCUCCAGGCACAAAUACACACAUUUCCAGGGUCCUGUUCAGGCAAAAUGGCCAUCAACACAGAUCAUAAGCAUCUGAAUGGCACCUCAUGAAGUAGGUGGGGCUGAUACUGGUUGUGGUGGAGCAGGCAUAGGCCCUGAGACAGUUUGAAGUAGAAGCAGCUACAGUGAUGUGAUCAGUCCCUGAUUCACAUCUGACCCAGCAUGAAACCAUCACAGGGCUUAUGAGGGGUCAAGAUGACAAACUAAGAAGGCACCAGGUGCAAGACAGCUCUUGGUCACAGCCAAGUGCUCGGCCAUGGCUAAUGCUCCCCUCCUGGAGUAAGGAAGCUAUUUUCAGCAUGUAAACAUUUAAAAUUCACUUCUGUUCUGAAUUAUACACACCAAAUGGCAUACCACCAUAAAAAGAUGAUGGCACAGUUCCUGCAGCUCAUAUGCUGGUGAUUUCAUAGUGAAAAUAUUGUUUGUUUCACUAAAGCCUGCUUGAAAUUAGUCACUUUAAAUGCAAACACAACUAUUAACCAGUGCAGAGUAAAUAUGCUAUAACUAAUUAACUAGUGCAAACAGUAAAUAUGCUAUAGCCAAUGCUUUUAAACUACCCUCCAAAGAAAAAGCACCUCUAUAAUUUCA
Rattus norvegicus (Norway rat) is the source of this 16379-nucleotide non-coding RNA. The record is from RefSeq and is a predicted model, not a curated record. NCBI's taxonomy places the organism in Eukaryota, Metazoa, Chordata, Mammalia, Rodentia, Muridae.